GCGCACGGGUGAGUAACGCGUGGAUUAUCUACCUAUUGGUACGGGACAACAGUUGGAAACGACUGCUAAUACCGUAUAAGCUGGUAACGGGAAAGGGGGCCUCUUCUUGAAAGCUCUCGCCGGUAGAUGAGUCCGCGUUUCAUUAGCUAGACGGUGGGGUAACGGCCUACCGUGGCAACGAUGAAUAGCAGGCCUGAGAGGGUGGCCUGCCACACUGGGACUGGAACACGGCCCAGACUCCUACGGGAGGCAGCAGUGGGGAAUAUUGCGCAAUGGACGAAAGUCUGACGCAGCGACGCCGCGUGGAGGAUGAAGGUUUUCGGAUCGUAAACUCCUGUCAAGAGGGAAGAAACCUAUUAAGAAUAAUACUCUUAGUAAUUGACGGUACCUCUAGAGGAAGCACCGGCUAAUUCAGUGCCAGCAGCCGCGGUAAUACUGAAGGUGCAAGCGUUAAUCGGAAUCACUGCGCGUAAAGCGCUCGUAGGUGGCUUUGUAAGUCAGGUGUGAAAGCCCAGGCUCAACCGUGGAAUUGCACUUGAUACUG
Molecule: ribosomal RNA, 544 nt
Filed under: uncultured bacterium
Lineage: Bacteria
Description: bacterial SSU rRNA
Rfam family: Bacterial small subunit ribosomal RNA
Source: RNAcentral